UCCCCAGUGGCUCAGAUGGUAAAGAAUCUGCCUGCAAUUCAGGAGACCCAGGUUCAAUUCCUGGGUGGGGAA
RNAcentral lists this transfer RNA (72 nucleotides) under Ovis aries (sheep). It matches the Rfam family "tRNA". Rfam says of the family: Transfer RNA (tRNA) molecules are approximately 80 nucleotides in length. Their secondary structure includes four short double-helical elements and three loops (D, anti-codon, and T loops). The record is from Rfam by way of RNAcentral. Lineage: Eukaryota; Metazoa; Chordata; Mammalia; Artiodactyla; Bovidae.